AUUCUAGAGCAGAAUCCCUGGGGCAGCCCCUGCUGAAGAAGGGUGCAUCUGUUGAGAAUCUCAUCACCGCCCCCACCCCGCCCAGCCUUCAAUUUAGAGGAAUUUCUAGUUCACGCAGAAUGAAGACAAGAUCACAUAAGUGAGGACGACGCCCCAUUUACAAGUGUGGUUUGGAAGACUGAAGUGGAAACCUUGGGAAGGGGCCUCAGAGUAUGUCAGCUGGGGUCAGACGGGAACAGGAGUCUGGCUCAACACACAUUUAUUGCACUCCUGCUUCAUGCCAAGAAAUGCACCAAAAUCUGGGACUGUGUAACACAGCAAAGGAAAAGACUCAUCUCCAGGAAGCCCCCUUGUCUAGGAAGAGAAAUUGAAUAUCAGCAUAAGGUGGUGAAAAGCUAUGAAGGAGAUGAGUGCCACGAGUCCAUGGAGGAAGGAUUCUAGCCUGGACAGAGUCUCCAUGAAUUGCAAGGGAAAACAAGUGGUACACUGGCAUUUCUAUUUGAUAACCUGUUCUCUUUGGAAUUCCGGUUAGAAAUCAAAGGCUUACUUGAGUUUUAAUGCUUGCAGGACUUCAAAUGCUUUUCUAUCUUCCUAAUAAUAUAUUAACAUUUUCUGAAGACAACAUAUAUCUGGAAAACAACAUUAUUUACUCAAAUAAUUUUUUUUGAAAAAUGGACCAAAAAAAAAAAAAAGAAAAACCAACAAAAA
RNAcentral lists this long non-coding RNA (708 nucleotides) under Pan troglodytes (chimpanzee). RNAcentral describes it as "lincRNA". The record is from RNAcentral. Lineage: Eukaryota; Metazoa; Chordata; Mammalia; Primates; Hominidae.